GUGGGGAAUAUUGGGCAAUGGGUGCAAGCCUGACCCAGCCAUCCCGCGUGCCGGAUGAAGGCCCUCUGGGUCGUAAACGGCUUUUGACGGUGAAGAACCGAAAGGGUGCGCCCUUUUCUGACGGUAGCCGUUGAAUAAGCACCGGCUAACUCCGUGCCAGCAGCCGCGGUAAUACGUAGGGUGCGAGCGUUAAUCGGAAUUACUGGGCGUAAAGCGUGCGCAGGCGGCUAUGCAAGACAGAUGUGAAAUCCCCGGGCUCAACCUGGGAACUGCAUUUGUGACUGCAUGGCUAGAGUGCGUCAGAGGGAGGUGGAAUUCCGCGUGUAGCAGUGAAAUGCGUAGAGAUGCGGAGGAACACCGAUGGCGAAGGCAGCCUCCUGGGAUGACACUGACGCUCAUGCACGAAAGCGUGGGGAGCAAACAGGAUUAGAAACCCUUGUAGUCC
RNAcentral lists this ribosomal RNA (445 nucleotides) under uncultured bacterium. Its description in RNAcentral is "partial 16S ribosomal RNA". It matches the Rfam family "Bacterial small subunit ribosomal RNA", at positions 354 to 796 of the family's 1533-position model. The record is from RNAcentral.